AAAAAAAGUCAAGGAAAUUGAAGCAACUACUCUCACGCUAUCUCUUCCUCUCUAAACUCUUUGACUUAUAUAAUGGAGAAUGAUCACAAUUCAUGUUUCUGUUGUUGAUCUUCUCACUUCUACAAGAAGAGGAUGUCCCAACGUGACGUUUCUUAUUGGUCUUUCUCCUUUCCUUCUUACCUCAUUAUCAUAUUCUCAUAUGCUUUAAUUUCUGAUUUUAUUUUCUGUGUUUUGAUUUUCUAAUUCAUCGUUUUUGGAUUUUAUUAUCAUAUGCUAUAUUGAAUUGAUCAUUGAUCCAAAUCAUUUGGCAUGCAUCAUAUUGUUAGCUUGUGAAGAUGUGUCUUAUCUUGGGUUUAUUAUAUAUUUAAUAUGUUUUGAUGGUGUCUUGAUUGGUGAGUGGUGCCAUCCAUUAGGUAGAAAUUGUUUUACAGUUUCACUAGUACUGAGAAUAAAUUGAACCAAUUCAGUAUUCAUUCGAAACUUGACUCGUUAUUUAGCUUGAUAAAUAUGGUUCAUGAACUAAAUGAGGCAAACUUGAGCUAAAAAUUGAGUCCGUUAAACAAACGAGCUGAACUUGAGUUAAAUAAGUUCGACUCGGUAGAUUCAUGAAAUGACUUGAUAUAUAUAUACUAAUUUUUUAUAUUUAUUGUUAUUAUAUAUAAAUAAACAUUCAUAUAAACUUCUGCAUUAUUUUUUUAGAAAUUAAUUAAUUAUUUGAGUUGUCCAAAUGAACUAAUUUGAGUUGAGUUAGACAAUUAAUGAACUUUAGCCGAACUGGACUCAAUCUAAAAUAUAAUUUGUCUCGAAUAUAGUCGAGUUUCGAGUUGGGCAAAUCCUUAUUGAGCUAAGUUGAGCUUUGAUUUGACUCAGUUCUGCUCAUUUCCAGUCAUAGGUUUCAGAACUACUGGUCAACUUUAAGGGAUGAUAAAGGGGUUUGGAUAGUGCAUGCACUGUUGGUGAGGUUACUGCGGGGAAGUAAGAACUCAUGUCUCCAUCUUUGUCUUCCAUUAGGUGAUAGAUAAGUUUCAUAAUCACUAAGAUGCUAGAAUAAUUUAGAGCUAUCACAGAUUUAUGAAGAAAAGUAUGUUGACAAUCUAUGACCACACCAUAACUUAGCAUGUCGAUAUUUUUACUUGAAGUGCCAAUGUUUUUCCAUUUUUUCAUGAUAUUUUUGUUAAAAUACAUUUGUAUAGAUUAUUUGUUCUAUAUUUUGUAUUGGGCAUGUCUUGUAAUCUUGGUGUUAAAUGCAGUUGUGGCUCUUGUGGAUACCCUUUUAACUUGACAUCGUCUAAUCGAAUCAUAUCUAACAUUGCAUCAGAAUAUCAGAAGUCUAUUAAAAAAGGAUCAAUCUCUUUUGCUUCAAUUGAUCUAAGCAAAUUUACACAUGUUGAUGAAAUAAAUUGUUUUCCCAUAUCAUGGUUUCGGUAUCAUUCAAAGACUACAUUACUUUGCCGAAAAUGUGGGGUUCAUAUUGGUUAUGGUUAUGAUAGAAAAUCACAUGUUCUUUGUGGAUUUCAGUCACCUAUUUCUUCUAGCUCUCAAAGAAAAUUCAUCAUGAAGAUUCGAUCAUUACAACCUAUUUCAGAAGAGUGAUGAAAAUUUAGACAUGGGUGGUCUUUGUAGAAAUGAUGGCACCUCCAUCACACAUCCCCAA
RNAcentral lists this long non-coding RNA (1654 nucleotides) under Lupinus angustifolius (narrow-leaved blue lupine). RNAcentral's name for it is "long non-coding RNA (LANG_LNC000343)". Lineage: Eukaryota; Viridiplantae; Streptophyta; Magnoliopsida; Fabales; Fabaceae. The record is from RNAcentral.